GUCUGCUAGUACACGUGGACACCUACCCUAAGGAGGGGGAUAACCCCGGGAAACUGGGGAUAAUACCCCAUAGACUAGAGAAGCUGGAAUGCUCUCAAGUCCAAAGGUCCGCCGCCUUAGGAUGGGUCUGCGGUCGAUUAGGUUGUUGUUGGGGUAACGGCCCAACAAGCCCGUGAUCGAUACGGGUUGUGAGAGCAAGAGCCCGGAGAUGGAUUCUGAGACACGAAUCCAGGCCCUACGGGGCGCAGCAGGCGCGAAAACUUUACAAUGCGGGAAACCGUGAUAGGGGAACCCCGAGUGCCCGUAAAUUCGGGCUGUCCAUCAGCGUAAAUAACUGGUGAAGAAAGGGCCGGGCAAGACCGGUGCCAGCCGCCGCGGUAACACCGGCGGCUCGAGUGGUGGCCACUAUUAUUGGGCUUAAAGCGUCCGUAGCUUGGUUGUUAAGUCUCUUGGGAAAUCUACCGGCUCAACCGGUAGGCGUUCAGGAGAUACUGGCAAUCUAGGGACCGGGAGAGGUGAGAGGUACUCCAGGGGUAGGAGUGAAAUCCUGUAAUCCUUGGGGGACCACCUGUGGCGAAGGCGUCUCACUAGAACGGCUCCGACAGUGAGGGACGAAAGCUGGGGGAGCAAACCGGAUUAGAUACCCGGGUAGUCCCAGCUGUAAACGAUGCGCGUUAGGUGUAUCGGUGACCACGAGUCACCGAGGUGCCGAAGGGAAACCGUGAAACGUGCCGCCUGGGAAGUACGGUCGCAAGGCUGAAACUUAAAGGAAUUGGCGGGGGAGCACCACAACAGGUGGAGCCUGCGGUUUAAUCGGACUCAACGCCGGAAAGCUCACCGGAUAAGACAGCGGAAUGAUAGCCGGGCUGAAGACUCUGCUUGACUAGCUGAGAGGAGGUGCAUGGCCGUCGUCAGUUCGUACUGUGAAGCAUCCUGUUAAGUCAGGCAACGAGCGGAGACCCCGAANU
RNAcentral lists this ribosomal RNA (968 nucleotides) under uncultured Methanomicrobiales archaeon. Its description in RNAcentral is "bacterial SSU rRNA". It matches the Rfam family "Archaeal small subunit ribosomal RNA", at positions 83 to 1059 of the family's 1478-position model. The record is from RNAcentral. Lineage: Archaea; Methanobacteriati; Methanobacteriota; Methanomicrobia; Methanomicrobiales.